Molecule: non-coding RNA, 1023 nt
Organism: Macaca mulatta (Rhesus monkey)
Lineage: Eukaryota; Metazoa; Chordata; Mammalia; Primates; Cercopithecidae
Source: RefSeq, a predicted model, not a curated record
CACCUCCCUCCCAGGCUUGACCAAUCGGAUAUCCGUCUUGCCCAACAGACCCAAUCAGAAGUCUCACUCUCGGUCUUGUCCCGCCCCCCAAAGGCAGAGGCCGCGGGAAGUCUCCGCCCACGCCUUGGAAAGUAGCCAGGGAGUGUCUGUGACAUCACCGAGGAACUCCUCCUGCCUGAGCGCAGCCCACUGAUGGCUGUCGCCUACAGCGGACCAAUAGAGGGCUUGGGUUCGGAAGUGAUGGACUGGAGGCUUGACUAAUGGGAAAAGGGCAUCUGAAAGAGAAGCCAGCUGCCAUGCCAUGAACUGUAAUAUGAAAAGGCCAAUGUAGCAAGGAUGUGUCCAGCCAACAGCCAGUAAGGAUCUGAGGCCCUCAGUCCAACAACCUAUGAGCAACUGAAUUCCGCUAAUAAACAUGUAAGUGAACACAGAAGUGGGUCCUUCCCCAGGCGAGCCUUCAUAUGUCCACAGAUCCAGCCAAGACUUUGACUGCAGCCUUGUGAGAGCCCCUAAGCCAGAGGACCCAGCUAAGCCACGCUCAACUUCUUGACCUGUCAGAGCUCAUCUCAGCCCUUUCCAAACCAACACACUGAGUUCUCCAAGUACAGCCCCCUUGCCAUCCUUACUGAAACCAUUUGGGAUUACUCAAUCAGAGCUGCAUUUUUAAGAUCAUCUCAUUCCUCAUGGGCAGUUUUUUUUUUUUAAACAGUAUAACAAACCACGGAAUCCUGCCCAUUUCAUCUCUGACAUUGUUUUAAUAAAUUCUGAAGAUGUAUUAAUUUUGCUCCUCUGCACUUUUGACUUUCUACCAUCUGUUGAGAUUUUUCUUUUUAUUUUAACGUGUUCUAUCAUUCUAUUCCAAUUUGGAAUGGGAGCAAACUUUUAUCACCCUCUGGCCUUCGUUUGUUUAAUUCUUCCUGUUCUAACAGUGUUCAGUAUAAUAGAAAUGUCCCAGCUUUGAGGAUUUUCUUUCAAUUUCUAUUUCUUAUUUAUUUAUUUAUUUGGAGACAGGGUCUUGCUCUA